AAUAUAAUGCUAUACUAGAUUUAUUUUGUCCUUUAAUGUUAUUGCAAUAGGAGAGAGAUUUUAUAAGGAUUAUAAAGAGGUGCAAAUAGUUCAAUUCUUUUUUUUUUAAAUUUUAUUUCUUAAGUUACGCUAUUUCUAGGCUAUGGUUGGGAAAAUUCCCCGAAUCCCAAUAGAGAUUCAGGAUUCUAGUCCUUUUGAGACCGGAUUCGAAAUAAAAUUUUGUCCUCAUUUACUAUUUAGGUUGAGAUUAGGACAUUUCAAAAUCUCAAAUGUCUUGAAAUUUGAAUUUUAAAAAUGUCUGACAAGUUAGUUUAAUGAAUUACAUGAUAUGACAAAUGGUUUUAAUUAAUAAUAUAUAUGAUAUGUUGGUUAAAUAGUCGUAUGACAUGUCAUUUUUGACAGAAUUUGCAACGUUUGAUAGAAUGUCAUUCGGGACAAUUUGGGAUCCCUAUUAGGACAAGGGAUUUCUUUUGGCUCGAUUUAUUGUCCAGGGUAGGAUCAAGAUUUACAAAUCUCGGCCCAUCCCAUCUUGAUGCCAACCAUACUCUAGGAUAUUCUAGUCUCUAUACAUAUAUGUUGUGUCUACUUGUCGGAGUUGGAGUAAGAGUAGAGUGUAGAUUUCUCCCACUCUAGCAUUUUACUUACUUGUUUAAGUAAGAGAGUGAGAGUUCGAAUCUAUGGGCCGCACUUAUUUUUGAAGUGAUGAGUGAGAUUCUAACUCUCAUGGAAGGAGGUGGAAGUGAAAAUUCAGUCCCACCUCU
This 761-nucleotide long non-coding RNA is filed under the name Citrus x clementina. RNAcentral's name for it is "Citrus clementina (C. clementina) long non-coding RNA (CCLE_LNC004066)". Lineage: Eukaryota; Viridiplantae; Streptophyta; Magnoliopsida; Sapindales; Rutaceae. The record is from RNAcentral.